RNAcentral lists this unclassified non-coding RNA (141 nucleotides) under soil metagenome. RNAcentral describes it as "partial internal transcribed spacer 1". The record is from RNAcentral.
UAAAAUUUUUCUUGCAUAUUUUUUUAAAAUGUGUAAAAAAAAUCUUGUAUUCAAAACCCACACUCUUUAAAACCCAUAAUAAAAAAAUUUUUAUGUUAUAUACAUGAAAUUUUUUUAUUUAAAAAUAAUAUAAUAAAAAGA